This 250-nucleotide ribosomal RNA is filed under the name uncultured prokaryote. RNAcentral's name for it is "partial 16S ribosomal RNA". It matches the Rfam family "Bacterial small subunit ribosomal RNA", at positions 524 to 774 of the family's 1533-position model. The record is from RNAcentral.
UACGUAUGGGGCGAGCGUUAUCCGGAUUCAUUGGGCGUAAAGCGCGCGUAGGCGGGCCGUCAAGCGGGGUGUCAAAUCCGGGGGCUCAACCCGCGGCACCACCCCGAACUGGCGGCCUUGAGUGUGGUAGGGGAGCGUGGAAUUCCCAGUGUAGCGGUGGAAUGCGCAGAUAUUGGGAGGAACACCGGUGGCGAAGGCGGCGCUCUGGGCCACCACUGACGCUGAGGCGCGAGAGCUGGGGGAGCGAACA